RNAcentral lists this ribosomal RNA (376 nucleotides) under uncultured bacterium. RNAcentral describes it as "bacterial SSU rRNA". It matches the Rfam family "Bacterial small subunit ribosomal RNA", at positions 521 to 896 of the family's 1533-position model. The record is from RNAcentral.
UAAUACGAAGGGUGCGAGCGUUAAUCGGAAUUACUGGGCGUAAAGCGCGCGUAGGUGGUUUGGUAAGCGAUAUGUGAAAUCCCCGGGCUCAACCUGGGAACUGCAUGUCGAACUGUCAGGCUAGAGUAUGGUAGAGGGGUGUGGAAUUUCCUGUGUAGCGGUGAAAUGCGUAGAUAUAGGAAGGAACAUCAGUGGCGAAGGCGACACCCUGGACCGAUACUGACACUGAGGCGCGAAAGCGUGGGUAGCGAACAGGAUUAGAUACCCUGGUAGUCCACGCCGUAAACGAUGUCAACUAGCCGUUGGGGGGCUUGUCCCUUCAGUGGCGGAGCUAACGCGAUAAGUUGACCGCCUGGGGAGUACGGCCGCAAGGUUA